GCUAACUCUGUGCCAGCAGCCGCGGUAAUACAGAGGGUGCAAACGUUGCUCGGAAUUACUGGGCGUAAAGCGCGUGUAGGCUGACAUGCAAGUCGGGUGUGAAAUCCCAGGGCUCAACCUUGGAACUGCACUCGAAACUGCACGUCUUGAGUACUGGAGAGGGAAGCGGAAUUCCGGGUGUAGAGGUGAAAUUCGUAGAUAUCCGGAGGAACACCAGUGGCGAAGGCGGCUUCCUGGACAGUAACUGACGCUGAGACGCGAAAGCGUGGGGAGCAAACAGGAUUAGAUACCCGAGUAGUC
This 300-nucleotide ribosomal RNA is filed under the name uncultured Chondromyces sp. RNAcentral describes it as "bacterial SSU rRNA". It matches the Rfam family "Bacterial small subunit ribosomal RNA", at positions 496 to 795 of the family's 1533-position model. The record is from RNAcentral. Lineage: Bacteria; Pseudomonadati; Myxococcota; Polyangiales; Polyangiaceae.